Long non-coding RNA from Vidua macroura (Pin-tailed whydah), 360 nucleotides. RefSeq lists it as uncharacterized. The record is from RefSeq and is a predicted model, not a curated record. NCBI's taxonomy places the organism in Eukaryota, Metazoa, Chordata, Aves, Passeriformes, Viduidae. The transcript has 2 exons.
CCAGGUCACUGCUCACCUGCCAGGUGUGGUCCCAGGUCACUGCUCACCUGCCAGGUGUGGUCCCAGGUCAGUGCUCACCUGCCAGGUGGGGUCCCAGGUCCCCCCUCACCUGCCAGCCCCCAGCCCUGCCCCCCGGGCCCGUGUGUGUGUGUGCCCCCCCCAGGGGUCCCUCUGCCCUGGUUUUUGGGGUGUCCCGGCCCUGGUCCCUCCCGCCCCCCGUCCCUGUGCCCUCCCCCUGUAGGUGCCUGUAGGUGUUUGGGGGCCGGCGGGCCCUGGGGGGGUCCCGAGCCCCCCGGGGGUCCCGCACGGCCGAUUUAGGAACAUGCCGUCCUGUGUGCUCAUUAAAGACCGUUCACAGCG